This 865-nucleotide long non-coding RNA is filed under the name Triticum aestivum (bread wheat). RNAcentral's name for it is "long non-coding RNA (TAES_LNC005975)". Lineage: Eukaryota; Viridiplantae; Streptophyta; Magnoliopsida; Poales; Poaceae. The record is from RNAcentral.
UAUAUUACUUUUUACGACAGAGAGAUAGGAAUUAAAAUCUGAAGUCUAUACAUGCCUUGUUCAGAACAAAGUGAAAAUAGCAACAUACCACCAGGUGGUACCUUCCACUCCAAAGACAACAACAAGAAUAUAAAGGCAGAUAUCGAGGUUGGAACAAGCAAACCAUCUUAAAUGUAACCGCCACAGGAGACUUGCUGCCCGGACAUGUCUUGUGAUAGUAAAUUGCAGGGGCAGCUUUAGAGCUUGCAACAUGAAGGCAAAAAAUGUGGGAAUAUGGAAUCACCAUUAGAUAGUCAUCAUCCUGUAGAGGAAAGGAUAAAAUAAUUUUUUUACAAAAGGAUAUGCAGGCAAGAGUACUGCUGCUGUAAAAUUACUGAAACUACUCUAUAGAAUUAAUAGAAUUAACAUGAUCUCCUGGAGUAGUUCAAGCAAUACUGGAGUGGUUCAAGAUACUAAUCUUGGUGCAGCACUAAGCAUGAAAUACAAUACUCCACAAAAUUAACACAAUCAAGAAAGCAUCAGCAAGUUAACAAUCUAACAAGACAAGUUUCAGUACAGCACCAAGUCAAAAUCCACUGCAAUCUCAAAACAGUGAAGUUCCAUUUUAAGCUACUGCAGUCUUUCUCUUAAAUUUAGUCAUGCAUCUGUGGAACUUGGCAGCAUUCAUUUAAGAAUGGAGUAAAUUAACUUGGCAGUAUACAAACUUUAAGUAAGUUGACUUAGCAUUCUACUGAAAUUCCACUGCAAUCUUUAAACUACUAUAACCUGUCGGAAAUAUACUGGAAACCCUCACAAAAAGUUCAUCUUUUGUACUGAGUACCUUGAAGAUGGCGUCGUAGCCGGCGAGGACCUCCUCGAUCUACGU